RNAcentral lists this ribosomal RNA (484 nucleotides) under uncultured bacterium. Its description in RNAcentral is "partial 16S ribosomal RNA". It matches the Rfam family "Bacterial small subunit ribosomal RNA", at positions 29 to 507 of the family's 1533-position model. The record is from RNAcentral.
AUUGAACGCUGGCGGCAUGCUUUACACAUGCAAGUCGAACGGCAGCGCGGGCUUCGGCCUGGCGGCGAGUGGCGAACGGGUGAGUAGUACAUCGGAACGUGCCCAGUAGUGGGGGAUAGCUCGGCGAAAGCCGGAUUAAUACCGCAUACGACCUGAGGGUGAAAGCGGGGGAUCUUCGGACCUCGCGCUAUUGGAGCGGCCGAUGGCAGAUUAGCUAGUUGGUGGGGUAAAGGCCUACCAAGGCGACGAUCUGUAGCUGGUCUGAGAGGACGACCAGCCACACUGGGACUGAGACACGGCCCAGACUCCUACGGGAGGCAGCAGUGGGGAAUUUUGGACAAUGGGCGAAAGCCUGAUCCAGCAAUGCCGCGUGUGUGAUGAAGGCCUUCGGGUUGUAAAGCACUUUUGGCGGGAACGAAAAGGACUGUGCCAAUACCACGGUUCGAUGACGGUACCCGCAGAAUAAGCACCGGCUAACUACGUG